This is a non-coding RNA of Cinara cedri, 320 nucleotides long. The record is from the annotation of a GenBank genome assembly. NCBI's taxonomy places the organism in Eukaryota, Metazoa, Arthropoda, Insecta, Hemiptera, Aphididae.
UUUGUAAUUCUCGUCUCUGCGAGUACCGUAACAAAAUCGACAUUUGAUUAUCUUUAUCAUCUCCGUAAAUAUUCAAAAGGUUUAUCUCCGUGGGAUAGCCUGUAUACGAGACUGUUGUGACGACUAGGACGGCGGCGACGACGGUGCGAACUUCAAACGCUUUACGCGCCGUAUUAUACAGAGGUUUAUAGCGGUUUAAUACCCGGGUGACUGUACACUCGAGUCGGAAGACCCGCCAAAAGGGGACCGUCGUCGUCGCGCGUACGGUAUUAUCAUCAUUAUUAUAAAUAAUGCGUAUCGUAUAAUCAGUUUAUCGUGGA